UACUACGGGAGGCAGCAGUGGGGAAUCUUGGACAAUGGGGGCAACCCUGAUCCAGCCAUGCCGCGUGAGUGAUGAAGGCCUUAGGGUCGUAAAGCUCUUUCGCCUGUGAAGAUAAUGACGGUAGCAGGUAAAGAAACCCCGGCUAACUCCGUGCCAGCAGCCGCGGUAAUACGGAGGGGGUUAGCGUUGUUCGGAAUUACUGGGCGUAAAGCGCACGUAGGCGGAUCGGAAAGUUGGGGGUGAAAUCCCGGGGCUCAACCCCGGAACUGCCUCCAAAACUAUCGGUCUAGAGUUCGAGAGAGGUGAGUGGAAUUCCGAGUGUAGAGGUGAAAUUCGUAGAUAUUCGGAGGAACACCAGUGGCGAAGGCGGCUCACUGGCUCGAUACUGACGCUGAGGUGCGAAAGUGUGGGGAGCAAACAGGAUUAGAUACCCUGGUAGUCCACACCGUAAACGAUGAAUGCCAGUCGUCGGCAAGCAUGCUUGUCGGUGACACACCUAACGGAUUAAGCUUUCCGCCU
This 519-nucleotide ribosomal RNA is filed under the name bacterium A6T_VP7_C3. RNAcentral describes it as "bacterial SSU rRNA". It matches the Rfam family "Bacterial small subunit ribosomal RNA", at positions 337 to 874 of the family's 1533-position model. The record is from RNAcentral.